This is a long non-coding RNA of Pezoporus occidentalis (night parrot), 166 nucleotides long. RefSeq lists it as uncharacterized. NCBI's taxonomy places the organism in Eukaryota, Metazoa, Chordata, Aves, Psittaciformes, Psittacidae. The record is from RefSeq and is a predicted model, not a curated record. The transcript has 2 exons.
CUAUGUAUUCAGCAUUCCCAGUUUUCCCCUUUUCAGUCUGUUGCUCAAGCUCUACGUGAUGAAGAUUGUCCUUUGAUGAUCAUUCCAAGCAGGCCUUAGAGCCAUCCAUGGACACUUGGAGUGUGAUUGGGUCAAGCUGAGCUCUUUCUUGCUCUUGAAUCAUUAC